RNAcentral lists this ribosomal RNA (773 nucleotides) under uncultured Neocallimastigales. Its description in RNAcentral is "partial large subunit ribosomal RNA". It matches the Rfam family "Eukaryotic large subunit ribosomal RNA", at positions 24 to 642 of the family's 3401-position model. Lineage: Eukaryota; Fungi; Neocallimastigomycota; Neocallimastigomycetes; Neocallimastigales. The record is from RNAcentral.
UAUCUCUGUAGAGUCUGCAUAUCAAUAAGCGGAGGAAAAGAAACUAACUAGGAUUCCCUCAGUAACGGCGAGUGAGGCGGGAAGAGCUCAAAUUUGAAAUCUUCAAGGUUCUACCUUGACGAAUUGUAGUUUAAAGAAGUGUUUUCUGUUGGAGUUUUGGUAAAAGUUCUUUGGAAUAGGACAUCAUAGAGGGUGAGAAUCCCGUAUUUGACCAUUAUUUCCAGCUUUGUGAUACACUUUCAAAGAGUCGGAUUGUUUGGGAAUGCAGUCCAAAAUGGGUGGUAAAUUUCAUCUAAAGCUAAAUAUUGGCGAGAGACCGAUAGCGAACAAGUACCGUGAGGGAAAGAUGAAAAGAACUUUGAAAAGAGAGUUAAACAGUACGUGAAAUUGUCAAAAGGGAAGCGUUUGACACCAGUGUUGUUUUCUCGAAAAUCAAUUAAAAAAAGUUGGAUUUUGUAUUGUUAAGACCUUAUCAGCUUACUGUACUCUUUUCUUGCUUUUUUUAAUGCACUUUUCGUUUAACAAGUCAACAUCAAUUUCUUUUGUUGUAAAAGGGUCAUUGGAAGGUGGCUUUCUUUUCGGAGAAAGUGUUUAUAGCCUUUGGCUUCUGCAAUCGGAGAGAUUGAGGUCUGCAGCGUAGACCCUUCGGGGUUAGAUACAUUUGUGCUAAGUUAUAGCCUUUCAUAGACAACUUGUUGACUAUGAUCAGUCAUGUAGCUUACUCGCUUAUGCUAUUUUACCUACGCUUAGGAUGUUGAAGAUGUAGCACAUCA